Molecule: ribosomal RNA, 252 nt
Filed under: uncultured bacterium
Lineage: Bacteria
Description: partial 16S ribosomal RNA
Rfam family: Bacterial small subunit ribosomal RNA
Source: RNAcentral
UACGAAGGGGGCUAGCGUUGCUCGGAAUUACUGGGCGUAAAGGGCGCGUAGGCGGAUAGUUUAGUCAGAGGUGAAAGCCCAGGGCUCAACCUUGGAAUUGCCUUUGAUACUGGCUGUCUUGAGUACGGGAGAGGUGAGUGGAACUCCGAGUGUAGAGGUGAAAUUCGUAGAUAUUCGGAAGAACACCAGUGGCGAAGGCGACUCACUGGCCCGUUACUGACGCUGAGGCGCGAAAGCGUGGGAGCAAACAGG